GACGAACGCUGGCGGCGUGCUUAACACAUGCAAGUCGAACGAAGGGGCGCACGGGUGAGUAACGCGUAAACAACCUGCCCUUCAGAGGGGGACAACAGUUGGAAAUGACUGCUACUGCCGCAUACAGAAGGAGGGGAUUGCGUCGGCUUAGCUAGUUGGAGGGGUAACGGCCCACCAAGACGAUUAUCAGUAGCCGGUCUUAGAGGAGGAACCACCCCAUUUGGACGGAGACACGGCCCAGACUCCUACUUUGAUCAACAGUGGAUAAUCUUCCGGAAUUGACGAAAGUCUGACGAGGCAACGCCGCGUGAGUGAAGACAGCCUUCGGGUUGUCAAGCUCUGUUAAUCGGGACGCGUUACCGGAAUAGAAAGCCACGGCUAACUACGUGCCAGCAGCCGCGGUAAUAC
Molecule: ribosomal RNA, 408 nt
Filed under: uncultured bacterium
Lineage: Bacteria
Description: partial 16S ribosomal RNA
Rfam family: Bacterial small subunit ribosomal RNA
Source: RNAcentral